ACUUUUUCUCAUUCAAUCAAACAAAGAGUAAAACCUAAUUGUAUUAUUCUAUUAUGCCCCGAGAGUGUAAUAUUGGAACGAAUCGAAGUCAACGUUCACAAGAACCAAAACCGGAACAACAUUAAACUACUCGGUUGCGCCCUAACAGUAUAAAUUUGCAACGAGUACUUUUUCUUAUUCUAUCGAACAAAGAGUAAAAGCUAAUUAUAUUGUUCUAUUAUGCCCCGAGAGUGUAAAUUUCGAACGAAUCGUUGUCAAUGUUCACAAGAACCAAAACCGGAACAACAUUAGACUACUCAGUUGCACCCUAACAGUAUAAAUUUGCAACGAGUUCUUUUUAUCAAUCUAUCGAACAAAGAGGAAAAACUAAUUAUAUUGUUCUAUUAUGCCCUGAGAGUGUAAAUUUCAAACGAAUCGAUGUCAACGUUCACAAGAACCAAAACCGAAACAACAUUAGACUACUAAGUUGCGCCUUAACAGUAUAACUUUGCAACGAGUACUUUUUCUCAUUCAAUCGAACAAAGAGUAAAACCUAAUUACCUUGUUCUAUUAUGCCCCGAGACUGUAAAUUUCGAACGAAUCGAUGUCAACGUUCACAUGAACCAAAAUCGGAACAACAUUAGACUACUUAGUCGCGCCCUGACAAUAUAACUUUGCAACGAGUACUUUUUCUCAUUCAAACAAACAAAGAGUAAAAACCUAAUUAUAUUGUUCUAUUUUACCCAGAGAGUGUAAUAGUGGAACGAAACGAUGUCUACGUUCACAAGAACCAAAAUCGGAACAACAUUAGACUACUCAGUAGCGGCCUAACAGUAUAAAUUUGCAACGAAUACUUUUUCUCAUUCUAUCGAAGAAAACGUAAAACCUAAUUAUAUUGUUCUAUUAUGCCCUGAGAGUGUAAUGUUGGAACGAAUCGUUGUCAACGUUCACAAGAAGCAAAAUCGGAACAACAUUAGACUACUUAGUUUCGCCCUAACAGUAUAAAUUUGCAACGAGUUCUUUUUCUCAUUUAAUCAAACAAAGAGUAAAACCUAAUUAUAUUGUUCUAUUAUGCCCUGAGAGUGUAAUGUUGGAACGAAUCGUUGUCAACGUUCACAAGAACCAAAACCGGAACAACAUUAAACUACUCAGUUUCGCCCUAACAAUAUAAAUUUGCAUCGAGUACUUUUUCUCAUUUAAUCAAAAAAAAGUAAAACCUAAUUAUAUUGUUCUAAUAUACCCCGAGAGUGUAAUGUUGGAAGGAAUCGAUGUCAACGUUCACAAGAAUCAAAACCGAAACAACAUUAGACUACUCACUUGCGCCCUAAUAUUAUAACUUUGCAACGAGUACUUUUUCUCAUUCAAUCAAACAAAGAGUAAAUCCUAAUUAUAUUGUUCUAUUAUGCCCCGAGAGUGUAAUGUUGGAAGGAAUCGAUGUCAACGUUCACUAGAACCAAAACCGGAACUGCAUUAGACAACUCACUUGCGCCGUAACAGUAUAAAUUUGCAACGAGUGCUUUUUCUCAUUCUAUCGAACAAAGAGUAAAAGCUAAUUAUAUUUUUCUAUUAUGAUGCCCCGAGAGUGUAAAUUUCGAACGAAUUGAUGUCAACGUUCACAAGAACCAUAACCGAAACAACAUUAGACUACGCAGUUGCGCCCUAACUGUAUAACUAUGCAACGAGUACUUUUUCUCAUUCAAUCAAACAAAGAAUAAAAGCUAAUUAUAUUGUUGUAUUAUGCCCCGAGUGCGUAAAUUUUCGACAAAUCGAUGUCAAUGUUCAUAAGAACCAAAACCGGAACAACAUUAGGCUACUCAGUUGCGCCCUAACAGUAUAAAUUGGCAACGAGGGCUUUUUCUCAUUCUAUCGAACGAAGAGUAAAAAAUGUGUCGGUUCUAUUAUGCCCCGAGAGGGUAAAUUAGAUGUCCACAUUCACAAGAACGAAAACCGGAACAACAUUAAGCUACUCAAUUGCGGCCAAACAGCAUAAAUUUGGAACGAGUAAUUUUUCUCAUUCAAUCGAACAAAGAGUAAUACCUAAUUAAAAUGUUCUAUUAUGCCCCGAGAGGGUAAAUUAGAUAUCCACGUUCACAAGAACGAAAACCGGAACAACAUUAGACUACUCAAUUGCGCCCUAACAGUAUAAAUUUGCAACGUGUACUUUUUCUCAUUCAUUCAAACAAAGAGUAAAACCUAAUUAAAAUGUUCUAUUAUGCCCUGAGAGGGUAAAUUAGAUGUCCACGUUCACAAAACGAGAACCGGAACAACAUUAGGCUACUCAAUUGCGCCCUAACAUUAUAAAUUUGCAACGAGUACUUUUUCUCAUUCAAGCGAAUAAAGAGCAAAACCUAAUUAAAAUAUUCUAUUAUGCCCCGGGGAGGUAAAUUAGAUGUCCACGUUCACAAGAACGAAAACCGGAACAACAUUAAGCUACUCAAUUGCGGCCAAACAGUAUAAAUUUGGAACGAGUACUUUUUCUCAUUCAACCGAAUAAAGAGUAAUACCUAAUUAAAAUGUUAUAUUAUGCCCCGAGAGGGUAAAUUAGAUAUCCACUGUCACGCCCCGAGACCGAUACCAAUUUGGUCCGGCCCGGGCGCGUCGAACAGACGCCGAACGGACAGGACCUACCCCGUCCGCCCAAGGCUAACCAACGGAUCAUGUAUAAGAAUUUACCCAGAAAUCAAUUCAUAAAUACACGA
RNAcentral lists this long non-coding RNA (2678 nucleotides) under Ananas comosus (pineapple). RNAcentral's name for it is "long non-coding RNA (ACOM_LNC037886)". The record is from RNAcentral. Lineage: Eukaryota; Viridiplantae; Streptophyta; Magnoliopsida; Poales; Bromeliaceae.